UAGCCACCGAUGUUUCCAUG
This 20-nucleotide non-coding RNA is filed under the name Arabidopsis thaliana (thale cress). Lineage: Eukaryota; Viridiplantae; Streptophyta; Magnoliopsida; Brassicales; Brassicaceae. The record is from RNAcentral.